ACAAUUUUCAAUAAUCAUUCUUGACAUUUUUCAAUAUUGUUCUCACCUUUCCUCCUACCCCCCUCCCCAUCUCCCACAGAUGGGAGUAAUAUGAUACAGGUUGUACAUGUGUUAUCAUAAAAUGCAUAUUUCCAUGUUUGUCAUUUUAUGAAAGAAGACUCGUAUCACUUACACCAGAGGAAAAUUCAUGAAGGAAAUUAAGUGAAGAAUGGCACACUUCAAUCUCGAUUCAGACUCCAUCAGUUUCUCCUUGGCAGUAAGAUCAAUCCAGAAUUACAGAAUUAGAGGAAAUGGACAAUCCAGCUUCCCUUACCACUUGUGGAACAAAGACAUAGAAAGAAGAAUAAACUGAAUUCUGUCUAAGAUUUCCAAAGAACAAUUAUAGGACAUCUAAGUCAUCACGUGGCUGCAACACCAAAAAAGUCAAGACAGAAGAGAAGAACAGGGUAUGUAAGCCAAAGUCACCACAAGCCAAACCAGACCUGGAAAGACAAGAAGAAUCAUCAUUAGAUAAAGCAGAAGCUGCAAUGGAAGAUGAGUUUUUGGAAGAGACUUUUGCCUUUUCACAGGUUUACUAUCUGUUUCUCAUUUCAAAAUUGGGAAAACUGGUGUGUGUGUGUGUGUGUGUGUGUGUACAAAGGAGGAAGGGAGGUGGGUUAUUUUAUUUUAACACUUUGGAUCUAUAUUAAAAGAUAACAAAAGGUGUAGCUUAAAAGUGCUACUUCAAAAUGUAUAAUCUGGUAUAGGAGAUAUAGUUCAUCAGCUAAUGUUAUGGGUGUUUAUGAAUAGAACAUAAAAUGUAUUAAAGAUAAAAUUAAUGAAUCAUUCAGAAGUUAUGUAUUGAUCAUCUAUAAUUUAUUAAUUUAUUUCAUUCAUCAGAAAUAUAAUAUGGCUUUUAAAUGUUCUUUAUGUGGCAGGAAAUACAAAAUAAAUGCAUGACAUGAACUCUUACUGGAACUGAGUUCAAAUAGAGCCUGGGAAAACCACUUAGGGUAUAUCUGUCUCAGUAUCCUCAUCAGUAAAAUGAGGAUAAUAAUAGUCAUUAUUUUCCAGACUUGUUAUAAGGCAGAAUAAGAUAUUUCCAUAGGGUUUUUCUGGUUAUUACUAUGCAAGAUACUAAAUAAAGCAUAAUAUUAUACUGAAUUGUCAAAAUGAUGUCAAUGAUGUUUUUAAUAUUAUAAGCACUCUCUAGUCUCUAGAAUCAUGGAACUGAAUAAAGCCUCGGAGAACAUGUAGUGAAAUCUCAAGUCUUAAAAGCAAUAAGUUCUACAACAUUUUGAACAAAUUAUUCUUCAACUUUCACUUGAAACCUCCCAGGAAGGAAUAGCCUACUGUCUCCAGAGGUAUCCCAUUCUAUUUCUGGAUAGCUCUAAUUAGUAUGAUUUUUUCCCAUAUGUCAAGUGAAAAGCUGACUCACUGAAAUAUCUACUUAUUGCUCGUAAUGCUUCCCUAUGGGCUAAGCAGAAUAAAUCUCUUUUCUCUUUCAUAUGACAGAACUCUAUCUUCCUCAGGCUCACCAACUCAAAUAAUCUUUGCUUCAAGCUAAACAUCUUUAGCUUCUUUAACGUUUUAUCACAUGGAGUCAUCUCCAUUCCUCCACCAUUUUUGUCAUCUCCUUCUGUAUAAAUAUUGCUAUUUGAAUGAUCUUUCAAAUAUAUGAUCUAGAAUUCACACAGAAUUUCAGAUGUGACCCAGUGAAAGCAGAAUAUAGUAGAUCUAUCACUUCUUAUUUUCUAGACUUAACUAAAUUGAUAUCUAGUUGACAAUUUUUUCAGCCAUUAUUUUGUUUGGUGCUCUCAUUGGUAGCACUGAUCUCUUCAGGUCUCUGUGCUACUAUGGAAGCCCUGUUGACUUCUCAGGACAUUAGGAUUAUUUUGCCAUUAUAUAUUUUUUCAAAUGUUCUGUUCAAUGUACAUUGGUAAUGAAUUUCUUUCCUAUAUCUGUUAAAAUGGAUAUGUGAAUUUAAAGCACAAAGUCAUUUAAUGAAAAGAUAACAGUAGCAUAAAUACUAGAAUGGAGUCAGGACUUAGGUAACAGAUUUUCUGCACUUUACUAAAUCGAUUAAACUACUAUAUCUGAUGAUGUCCACUUAAUCUUGGUGAUGCUAGCUAGGGUGCAUUGAUUUAUUUUUUAGCACCUAACUCAAAGUACUAUUGACUUCUCUACAAACAAGAGACCCCCAAACACUGCCAUCUCUCCCUGGCUCUACUUAAAGACAAGCAAAUAAAUUUAUGUGUAUACAUACAUUUCUUUCUGUGAUUUUGAGCUAGUAGAUUAAUUAUACAUAACUGGUGCAUCUGAUCAAAACAGCAUGACUACUGAUAUAAAUAUGUAUAAUAUACUAAUAUAAUAUAUAUAUAUAGAGAGAGAGAGAGAGAGUUUUUCUCUCUUUUGGGAGAUUUCUAUCAUAUAUGGAAAUAAAUAUAAUGUCAAGUGAGAAAAAAAUUACCUAUCAGUUCGUUUUUGGACAUAAAAAUUCAGUUACUGACAAUUCAUUAGGAGCCAAGCUUUAGUUAAAUGGUGCUAUCAGUUGUUAAUAGCCUGUGGUGCAAUAAGGCUUACUGUGAACAGGUGAUGAUUACAGUACUUAGCACUUCAGGAGAAUGAAAGUAUAGUGACUGUAAUCAUUAUAAAAAUUACUUCUUAAGUGUCAUGCUGUUAAUUACAGUUCAAAGAAUUAGCAUCUGGUUGAAGCUAUGGUUGUAGCUAUGAGGAAUUGGUAUUACAGGAAAUGCAUUUAAAGAACCUUUAAUCACAACAUAAAGUUGUUGUUUUUUUCUUCCUGGUUUCGAAUUCUUCCAUAUAGUAAGUCACACCUGGUGUUUAUGGAAAAAAAAAAAACUUGCAAAGUAAGCUGGUCUGGGUUUCUAUAUUUUCUUUAAAGGAAUUUUCAUAAGUGGAAUUAUUUUCCACACCUUUGUCUGAUAGUUCAGUCUUAGAAGCGUGACUAAGCUUGAAGAUUUAGGUUGAUUUUUACUUCAUUCAUAUUUCAGGUGCAUCCUAGUGAAAGUUUCAUAGUUUGAUUUCCUAAUCAAUAUGUAAAUAAGUUAAGGAAAUUACCAAGUGAAAUUGAAUAGCUGUAACUUGUUCUUCAUAUUGCAUGCUGUUUCUGUAAAUGUGGAACAAGAAUAGUUCUGAGUACCAAUUCAGAUAUCAGUCUGCAUGACUGUGUCCACCAUCUUACUGUAGUUGUACCAUCAUCAAAUAUCUUUUAAUUAUUCUAAUCUUGUGUCUAUGGAGGCAAAUAGGACUAUACUUGUUGGUUUUAGUGAAAUUUACUGCACUACACACAGUAAAAGCAACAAGGUAAAAUGGUCAAUUGUGAAUUACUUAACUAUUAUCAGCAAUGCAAAGAUAGUAGACAACUUCCAGGGACUCAUGGCCAAAAAAAUAGCUAUUUACUGUCA
Monodelphis domestica (gray short-tailed opossum) is the source of this 3407-nucleotide non-coding RNA. Lineage: Eukaryota; Metazoa; Chordata; Mammalia; Didelphimorphia; Didelphidae. The record is from RefSeq and is a predicted model, not a curated record.